The sequence is a transfer RNA, 89 nucleotides long. It matches the Rfam family "tRNA". Rfam says of the family: Transfer RNA (tRNA) molecules are approximately 80 nucleotides in length.
GGUAUUGAUAGCUAAGUCUGGUUUAAAGCGUCUGCCUUGAAAGCAGGCGGGGCUGAUGCCCCAACGCGGGUUCGAAUCCUGCUCAAUAC